Molecule: ribosomal RNA, 389 nt
Filed under: uncultured bacterium
Lineage: Bacteria
Description: bacterial SSU rRNA
Rfam family: Bacterial small subunit ribosomal RNA
Source: RNAcentral
GAUGAACGCUAGCGGCAGGCCUAAUACAUGCAAGUCGAACGGUAAGGCCCUUUCGGGGGUACACGAGUGGCGGACGGGUGCGUAACGCGUAUGCAACAUGCCUUCCAGCGGGGGAUAUACCAGGGAAACUUGGCGCAAUACCCCAUAGAAUUACGGGACCGCAUGGUCUUGUGAUUAAAACUACCGGUGCUGGGAGAUUGGCAUGCGUGACAUUAGCUAGUUGGCGGGGUAACGGCCCACCCAAGGCGACGAUGUCUAGCUGGUCUGAGAGGAUGAUCAGCCACACUGGGACUGAGACACGGCCCAGACUCCUACGGGAGGCAGCAGUAGGGAAUAUUGGACAAUGGGGGGAACCCGGUCGAUCCAGCCACUGCCGCCGUGAGGGAAGG